Molecule: long non-coding RNA, 6089 nt
Organism: Brienomyrus brachyistius
Lineage: Eukaryota; Metazoa; Chordata; Actinopteri; Osteoglossiformes; Mormyridae
Exons: 4
Source: RefSeq, a predicted model, not a curated record
ACCACUGCCUGUCUCUGUAAGAUGUAAUAACCAUUUCAAUAUGUCAUUUAUCCAUGUACUCCUAUUAGCUCAAUUACUUUAUUAAAUCUUAAGAUGAAAUGUAUUCCAUAAUAUGCUGUGAGCCUGAGGAAGAAAUGGAAUGAAGGAAUGAUGGGUAAUCUGCUGACCUACUGCGUCAUAACCAGUGGCUGUGAGCUUAUAAAGGACAAGAACAUGCAACCUCCGUGUAACGGUGAGACACAUCAUGUUAAACAUUACCUGCUGAAGGUUUGCAUUGAAUUUACUACUGGCUCAUUUCUGCAGGAAAUGUUUGUGUGAAAACCGUGCAGAAGCUGGGGAGAAAUGCUUCAUUGCCGCAUGGUCUGGAAGCCUGACUUCUCCACUCCAGGGAGGCAGAGAGCGUGGAGCGCGCAUGACUAGCCGGAUGGGAUCGCAACCCAUCACAGGGCACACGCUUAUAGCCCUAAUCAUAUGCUAACAGCAGGUCAGUGACGGCGAUUCAACUAAAGCAAGUGCUGAUGGACUGGGAGUGAAUAUACGCACUCCACAGACGUGGAGCCGGAAUCAAACCAGCAAGCUUGAAGGCAUGUGACCGAUGUGGCACUCCCCAGCGCACAGAGCCCCUCCCCCCCUCCUACUUAUGCAGUGUGAUUAUAACGAACCAGCUGCUGCAGAAAGUUAUAUCUGAAUGGUUGGCCGCCUUCCCUGUUACCUCAUAAUAGCUCUUCGAAUGCUGGCAUCCUACCGAAUCUAAUAACGACUGAGCAGGUAUUGUGAUGAUUUCCACCAGCUUUGAACGGUGCUGGUGACAAAUAUGAUGGACCCUGCUGUGGUCACCUUCCCAAAUCUGAGAGAAGACGACCUGUCGGUUUGAAAAUGUCACCCACCAAGAUGGUGAAUUUCAGCGUUUCAGAAGCGGUGCAGCACGGAGGGUGUGUUUUAAGUGGGUGGAAUAGUGGAGAACCAUACUGAAGACGCAUUGGCUACCACUGAAGCUGUGUAUGGCAAAGGAUUACAUCGCAGUCUCUUUGGGUCCCCAUGCCUCGGUCCUCAGCAUGAGAUGGCAGGUAUUACCGCUCUGGUCCUUGUUGCUUACACACCCUACAUGCCCCCCAGCAUAUCCAUUUAUGACAUGGUCUCAUUUGCCCCCACACUAUUGGCUGGUGAGAAUCACAUGGUACUCCAGAUUACAUUUAAUCUCUGCAGUCAGCGGUGUGUUUUAAAGUCAUUAUUUGGAUAAGAAGUCACCUCUACAGCUUUUCCGGGUGAUAAAUUAGAAGGUGACUCUCAGAGUAGGUGUGCUGCUGUGUUUCGGCACUAGCAUGGUUCCUUCCUGCUGUGAGGUAAGAAUCGUCACUCCACGUUCACCUUUGACUAGCACACUGAUCAGGCAUACCUUGUCAGCAGGGAACUCUUAGGUGCAAAAUUUUUAGGCUUGAUGGUACAUGACUGCCCAAAAAAAACAGGCGUAAUUCCCUGAAAUCACUGCAGCAGUGCUCCGUGGUAAUACCUUAAAAGCAAUCCUCUAAAAUUAUAUGCAUUCAUACACUGUGGCUAAUGGAGUUUAUAUGACCACAACUAACAUGACAAUGAAUGUAAACAUAAGACCGGGUUUAUGGGAAUUUGGGCUUAAUCCUGGAAUAAUGAUCCCCAGAUGAAAGCAGUACUGUGCAUAUAUCAGACCUUAUUUGUUUUUACAGAAUUUAUUUUUACACAAAAGCAGUUAUUCAUGGCCAAUUAAGGUUGAUGGAGACAGUCAUUACUGAGAACGAGGAAUGGGAAUCAAAUGACGCUAAGGAGAAAUUCUGUCAUUAAAGCAACACAUUCCUCUUAUCACUAUCACUCUCUCUGAUAGACAGGCCUUAUUCACUGUAGCCACCAGUAAUAUUCCAUUUCCAUUGACCUUUUAAAAGUGUUUAAAACACUUAACAUUCUGGGAGGGGGGCAGCUGUUUAGCUGGUAAUGGCUUUGGAUUUUAUGCCUUAUUUUAGUUUUUGUCUACUCAGUCCCCGAGGACCCCCAGAAAGUCCAUGUUUUUGCUCCCUGCCAGACAGUCCACAUUUUUGCUGCGAGGAAGCAAAAUCAUGGACUGCCUUGGGGUCCCCGAAGACUAAGGUUAGAAACAUUGAAUUAAUUGGCCUUUCUAUGCUGGUUUGACUGCCUUGUACUCUCUGCCCCAUCCACCAAAAGCUGCCAAUCCAUUAAGUUUGUCAGAGUCGCAGUUUUUUUCUUUUUAGCCGUAGCCAGGGCGAUACCAAAGAGUAAAUAUAGGUUUCCUUUAUCUCCGAAUGCUGUUUGAUGUAGCUGUAAUGAACUUGCAUAAUACAGCAAAGAUAACGGGGAGACAAGCUUUUUAAAAGACCUAUUGAAUAUUAAUUCACAUUUGGAUUAAGGUGUUGAUAAUACCCAAGAAUCCUGGAACAGUAAAGUCUGAAUUGACCAUUGUUGGGGCUUAUCAGCCUAAUUACAUGAACGGAGGGACAAUUAGAUAAAGGCAUCUACAUCAGCAGCUCGGAGGUGUGUUGGAGGCCCUCAGUAAGUUUCCGGUGUUAGCGUGAGAAAAAACAGUCGUGCCGUACAGUUAAUAUUUCAGCUAUUAAGGUUUCCCGCUCUCUUGGACUCAAGGAAUAAACAUUGGCUGAAGCUGAAGUCAGACAUAACAGAGUAUUUCAAACCACAGCCUCUACAGAACACGUUCAAAAAAUAAACAACCCGUGGAGAUGAGGAACUUAUGAUCUCCACUAAUUGUUUACAAAGACUAGGGACUCACGGUCUGUCCAACCCUCCUCAUCACUAUUAACGGUGUCCUGGAUGGAGACGGUUGUCACCUGUGUCCACAGCAACAGCUGGGGCUGAAAAUGCCCCAGGACCCCAAGGACUAGAUGGAUUCACUGGAGCGUAAUGAGAUUCUUCUUCUCAGUAUUCAUGAGUAAAGGCAAAUUAAAGGGGAUCUGGGCAAAUGGCAUAGCAUGCAAAAAACCAUCAUUGAUUUCAUUUCCUCUGGUGAUGGUGAUGAUUGUUACAUAGCAGAUUAGUAGAUUUCCGAAACAAUAAUCGCAUGAAUGCCACCUCCGUCAAGCCUUUAUCUUCUGCCACUGAGCAAACAGAGCAUUGUGCCGUUUCAGCCUUCGAGCUGGAGCAGUCAAUGUAAAUAAGACCAUUUAUUUAAUAUGUUUAGAGAUCUGUAUUUACAGCAUAGUCUUAACUAUUAAUUUGGCUGACUUCGUAUAUGGGGAGCUGGUUACGGUUUGUAAACACGCGGUUCCCUCUCAGAAGAACACCUAGUGUGCGGUCAUUUUCAACUGUUUAGACACAGAGUGAUUCAAGGCUUCCAUGUUGAUGAGAGCUCACGGAUGCUGCCCUCGUGUCGAUCGUGACAAAUCGUGCUCAUUUCUGUCACAAGGCCGCACAUCUCGCACUGUUUGCUUCAGACGUUAUCACAGUUUCCUUUCACUUAAAAAUAUAAAUGAUUUAAUCGUGAAAUGUUGCCAGAAAGUGACCACGUGAUAUUGAUUGCCAUUGUGUAAAAGAGGGCCGUACCAACUCAGGACAAUCAUCUCUCCACUUAGCUGAUCCAUGAGUCUUAUCUGCCUGCCCCAAUCACAGUUCAGGGUUAAGGUAACAUAUCUGAAGAUCCACAACAGAAUGAUGAAGGCCUGCACUUUAUCUCUUCUGAAAUAACAGGUAAUCAAAGAGACUUGUCUUAUCAUGCAUGCUAAACGUGUGCUUAGCACUCAGACCCUGAGUAAUGACCAUUGUUUAGCCGAGCACAUUGUUUCCCAAGCAGAGACCUCUGUAUACAAUCUACAGCGCGGAUCAGCGCAUUAGCCAGCCAUUAUGUGACUCUUUAAUGACCUUUCUGCUCCCAAACUCCUGGUCCUCUCAUGUAUCUAUAUCAGAGGUGGGUAGUUCAGUCACAUAGUACCUAACUGGUUGGUUGAAACAAAAUCUUGGUCUGGAUUUCUGCAUUCUGGACCUGAACUAUCCACCUGUGGUCUAUAUUCUGUGGGCCCAGCACAACACAGUCUUACCUUCUGCAUCUGCUAUGUCAACUGACACUACUGGAGGACCUGCCAGUGACCCCCCUCCCCCCUCCGUCCCUUGACCUCUGAACUCCAGCACCCGCCCCCCACUCCCUCAUCCAGCUGUGUUUGUUUCCGAAAAUCUUGCGUCUCAGUGGGACACGGGGCGUGCUUCUCCUGACGGAGCUUACCGGAGUGUGUGAAGGAAACAGCUUCUCAGUUUCUCAGCACCAACAUCCCCAGUGAAAAAGCCCCGUUCAGGUGACACAGGGCACAUUGGGAUGGGCUCCAAGUAAACACAGAGUCCUAGGCCUCCGGAACAUGAACACAGACCCCAACGGGGUCUGAGCAGUGGGGGAUUGUGGGGAUGGAUUGGUCUGAAAUGGAGUCUGACACCGAACCACAGGUGUGGAAAUAUCUCCCCAGGCUUUUUUCUGCUGUCUUCAUUGCUGUUGUCAUCGCUGAGAGCCCCUCAUGGACUGCUGUGAGCGUGAUGCCAUUAGCAUAGCAUAGAGGCAUCUCUCCUCAUUACUGUUUUAUAUCUGGGACCUAUGAAAACUCUGUAUGCACCCAUGUGGAUCGGGCGUGACUGCAGCUGAGGCAGAUCCAUUCCUAUGGAGAUGAAAAUAUUCAGAACAAAACUGGACUGCAUGUGUAAAUGAGUGCUGUGCUUGUAAUAUGUUUCUGUGUUUCUCUAUGUAUGAUAAUUGUGACAAAGAAGCUCCUCUCUUCCAACCUUUCAGCAAUUAAAUUGCACAGUGUUCAUUAGGUUGAUUUAAUGCCAAGACACACAGAUCAAACUUAACAUUAGUAUAAGAUCCUUUAUUAAGAGUGCUGUGCAGGGUUUAUUUUCAAGUAAAUUAAAAACACGUUAUAUUUUCAUACAUACUGAAGGAAAUCAUUAAUGAAGUUGCUUUUAUAUAACUUUUAUGACAAAUAUUUUCUUACCAUUACUGAUUAUUUACUUCUCUGCAUUUAUGUAAUGUCCCAUGCAUCCAUCCAUCCAUUUUCCAAACCGCUUAUUCUACUGGGUCGCGGGGGGUCCGGAACAUAUCCCAUUUAUGUUAUGUACAAAUAUUAAUUGGUACAAGUACAAUUAAUGCGCAGUGAAAGUAUACCGCUAUUACCCUAGACCGUAUUUAGCAAGGUGAUUAUUACGUUACUUCGCGUGACAUAUAAACGUAUUGAGCCUUGUUUUAAGAUACAAGUGAAAAUAUGUACGUUGUCCAUUCCAUCACAUGAAAAUAGGGACGUUAUUAAGCAAUAUUUCCCCGAUGUUUAUGUUUAUUCUGUAUAUCCAGAACCAUUUGCUGUUAGACCACCAUCUGCGUGUGACUGUUUAUCCCUGGGAAUGUCAGGAAAGCAGUUGUUUUCACGGGCAGCCUUUUGUCAUUUUUGGACAUCACCGUCUUUGACUGUGGCCUGCUUUGUAGUCAUUAUAAUCCGAGUUGUCUUUUUAUUUAUUCCACCUGCCACGCUGACCCACAAAAUGCCGGCUAAAUAAGUUUUUCUCAGUCUGACAGCGGCCAAAGGCUUCCUCGGUUUUCAGCUUCGGGUCAUGUGACAUGUCCUGUCAUCAGAAAUAAGCAUUUCUUUGCCCUUUGCUUAAAGGCAUAAACAUUUAUUUCUAGUCAGGUGUACUCUAUGUUUAGGUACGGGAUAUGGUUUGAAUUGAUCUGCAGUAGUUUAUGAGUGUCAAUCAUUAGUCAGUAUUUUUGUUUUACAUUAUCAUAAUGCAUAAUAUGCGUGCGUAACUGACCGGGAUAAAGUUAGUUUAAUAUUCACUAUUCAUCUAUAUGUAAUUUUUAACCCUAAAAACAAUGACCAUUAAUAAUGGAACUAGCUUUAUGGCACAUGAAGCAGAGUAGUCUCUAUGUUGCACAGCUGGUUAGACAUCAUGAGGUCACAUGGUUAGGGAGCAUAAUAGCUUCAUAUAUAGGUACAGUACGUGUCAUUUUUAAUUCUAAAAAAUUCUUUAACAUAUUUCAAAACGAAGCCUUGCGGUAGGCUACAUGAAGGACAUUUGUAUACUGCACAGUUGAUUUGACAUCAUCCACUAAAAUGGUU